GCUACGGGAACCCUGGGA
Molecule: unclassified non-coding RNA, 18 nt
Filed under: Mus musculus (house mouse)
Lineage: Eukaryota; Metazoa; Chordata; Mammalia; Rodentia; Muridae
Description: oocyte_clustered_small_RNA3982
Source: RNAcentral